GAGCAGAGGGGUGACCGCGGUCACUUUUCGGUCACCCAACAAAAGUUGAACAAAACGUGGUUUUGUAAUUUAGGCAUGAUCCUGAAUCAAGUUUCACUGGAAUUUUUUCGAAAUUUGGCUUGGAUCAUCGAAAUUGCCAGUGCCCAGUCUUGGGCACCCAUCGGGCACCUUUCGGAUACCGAGAGCGGGCAGGGGGUCACUUGCGGUCACGUAACAAAAUUUAAACUAAGGGUGGUUUUGCAUUUCAGGCAUGAUCCUGAUUCAUGUUUCAUUGGAAUUUUUUUGAAAUUUGGCUCGGAUCACCGAAAUUGCCAGUGCCCAGUCUUGGGCACCCAUCGGGCACCUUUCGGAUACCGAGAGCGGGCAGGGGGGUCACUUGCGGUUACCUAAAAUAUAUUAAACAAAGGGUUGUUUUGCGUUUAAAACGUGACCCUGAAGCAUUUUUCAUUGGAAUUUUUUUAAAUUUAGCUUUGACCAUCUCAAAAUGGCAGUGCCCAGUGUUGGGCACUCAUCGGGCACCUUUCGGGUACUCGGAGCGGGCAGGGGGUUAACCAUGGUCACUUGCGGUCACAUAAAAAAAUUUAAACAAAGGGUGGUUUUGCAUGCAAGGCAUGACCCUGAACCUGGUUUGAUUGGAUUUUUUUUAUUUUUGGCUUGGACCACCUCAAUUUGCCAGUGCCCAGCCGUGGGCACCCAAAGGGCACCUUUCGGGUAGCUCGGAUCGGAUAACUGCGGUGUGACCGGUGUAUGGAAUUUUUGGGUUAAUUUUUGGGCAAAGAAAAAAAAUGUUAUUUAAUAAGUAAAAAUAAAAAUUUUGAUGCAUUUUAAAAUAACCACUCGAGGGUUACCUUUUGGCCACCCAAUGGUUAACCGAAGCGUGGGCACUAUAUUUCUUACACUAGUUUUUACUCUAAAAUUUUGUCAGAAUUUUUUCAGUCCAGAUUUUAAUUUAUCUAGUAUAAUUACACAAGUAAAUUAAAAUAUUAACUUUGAUAACCAAAACGGGUUACCCAAUGGUUAACCAAUGGGCAACCUCAAAAUCACAAUUAAUUAUUUAGUCCGUGUUUCGUUAUUAAUUAUUUAUUAAAAAUUUUUUGACUUGUAAUACUCUAAUUAGCAUUUUAAACUCUUUUAAUUUACUCGUUUUGAGUACUUCCGUGCUCAGGCAGCAUAAUAUAUCGCGCGCGUUUUCUUGGCUACACUGGUUGACCGCAAGUGUGGCGCCACUGUCGGCAGCGGCUAGCAGCAACAGCUGCCGCUUUGCUCGCAUGCUCGCUGACUGACUGUUUGUGUUUGAACUUGGGACGGUUGAGGAUUGCAUCAUCAUUGUCGGCAGAGAUUUUCUCAGUGUUUUUGGUCAUUUUUCGACAAAUGGACUACUACAACGGAUCCUUGGAAGGACGAUGGAUGUUUUACAAGGCUUGCACCGCGUCCCGCCCUGAUCUUCUGUUUUGAUGUCCUGGUCGGGAAUAGCUGCCUGUACGCGAUGGCCAUCCGGAUUUCAAGCCUGGACAACUAAACAAAACUUCUCCCGUCUCCGGUGUAUCCAGGGUUAUCAUCUGCUGUUUUGUUUCCAUUUUCAACUGACAAUGAGUGCCGACAGUACAUAAAUGGGACUGGACUCAGGAGACGAAAAGCAACAUGACAAGAUACAUAGUAUAGUGCUGCUGGACGAUGACAUGAGUGUUGGGAGAUAAAGUGGUAAUUCUGUGUGUGUUCCAUGGUUAUUUUUUGUGUUAAAUUUUGUGUAUGUCUUCAAAAUUAAUUUUGACUCAAAAUUUCAAUAUAUUAUUCAUUUUUUGUACUAAUGUUUGCAACAGUUGAAUUCCUAAACAGAUUUAUGUGAAUAGUAUACAGUAUGUUUGCGGCAUAUUUUAAAUUAAAGCAAUUUUCUAGACAGUUAAUUGUGGCAACUAAAAUUUUUAAUCUAUUACUUUGACAAUUAUCAUAGGCUUAAAAUCAACCAUCUCAAAUGCCUUAAGUAUCUUAAGUCAAUUACAGCUGAUGGUGCCAUUGUAUAAUUCCUAUUUUAAUUCCUUUAAGGAAUUAAUCUUGCUGCAGUGCAUUAUGGACUAAAAAUAAUUCAUUUUACUGUGCUGGAAACAGUGGAAACCAAAAUAAGUUCAGCAAAUCACCGUUCAAUUUUUAUAAUUAUUUGUUCUGUUGCUGCAUUGCCUACAUAUACAUAAUCAAUGUGAUAAUUUUAACUAUUAGUCUCAUUUUUGUACUGUGCAGUUCUCCGCGGUCUAUUGUACGCUAUUUUUUGGGGUUGAAAAUUGUUAUUUUCAUUUGUAUAUUAUAUUAUAUUAUUUGCUUAUUCUGUUAAUGAAAGGUGCAAUGUAACUUGACUGCAUUUAGGUAUCACCUUGGAAUUUUCACAGCCAAACCUAGUUUUUUAUUCUGAACAACUUUUAACUUUAUAAAACUUGCAAGUCUUUCUCGACCUUUUUUUGGAAAAUUCAAUAUUAGUGGAUGUUAGUCCCCAUUGAUAUUUUUUCAGGAUUCAAGACUAAAUUGUAUCCCGUGAAUAUCUGCACAAGCACACCAGGUUUCAGAGGUGCAACAAUAGUUUUGCCAGUUUUGCUUUAAUUUGAAUUUGAAAAUUCAUA
Molecule: long non-coding RNA, 2609 nt
Organism: Cloeon dipterum
Lineage: Eukaryota; Metazoa; Arthropoda; Insecta; Ephemeroptera; Baetidae
Exons: 3
Source: RefSeq, a predicted model, not a curated record